ACUCCUGCGGGAGGCAGCAGUGGGGAAUAUUGCACAAUGGGCGCAAGCCUGAUGCAGCCAUGCCGCGUGUAUGAAGAAGGCCUUCGGGUUGUAAAGUACUUUCAGCGGGGAGGAAGGCGAUAAGGUUAAUAACCUUGUCGAUUGACGUUACCCGCAGAAGAAGCACCGGCUAACUCCGUGCCAGCAGCCGCGGUAAUACGGAGGGUGCAAGCGUUAAUCGGAAUUACUGGGCGUAAAGCGCACGCAGGCGGUCUGUCAAGUCGGAUGUGAAAUCCCCGGGCUCAACCUGGGAACUGCAUUCGAAACUGGCAGGCUAGAGUCUUGUAGAGGGGGGUAGAAUUCCAGGUGUAGCGGUGAAAUGCGUAGAGAUCUGGAGGAAUACCGGUGGCGAAGGCGGCCCCCUGGACAAAGACUGACGCUCAGGUGCGAAAGCGUGGGGAGCAAACAGGAUUAGAAACCCCGGUAGUCCCAUGA
Molecule: ribosomal RNA, 474 nt
Filed under: uncultured organism
Description: partial 16S ribosomal RNA
Rfam family: Bacterial small subunit ribosomal RNA
Source: RNAcentral